Molecule: long non-coding RNA, 1354 nt
Organism: Gasterosteus aculeatus aculeatus (three-spined stickleback)
Lineage: Eukaryota; Metazoa; Chordata; Actinopteri; Perciformes; Gasterosteidae
Source: Ensembl
GCGCGGGUUAGGCUUCCAGGGGUUUGGGAGCGCGGGCGCUGUCCGCACGAGAGCAGGUCCUGAAACGCGGCGUGCUGCCCACCCGUCGGACCCCCGCAGCGCCGGCAGUUCUCUUUUUCCUCGCGGUUCGAGGGAAAACCUGUUUAUGUACAUAUUUACACACCAAACGUUUUGGACGUUUAUUUGUCGGGGAUUCAAGCGCGAGCGCGGAGAAACGCGUUUGAAUUUUAGGGAAACUGGGAUUUUUCUGUUUUUUACACCAACGCGUAAAAACAAGAAACUCACGCAGAAAGCCGGAGCCGAAGACGUUUGUGCCGCGAGUGCCACCAACACGCAGCGAGACAGAGAGAGAAGGGGGGAGAAGGGGGAGAGAUAACAGAGUGAGCAAGAGCCGUCCUUCACCUCUCUCCCGGGAUAACAACUUUUUAUUUUGUAUUUUCCCCGCUGUUCUUUUCUUCUUCUUCUUCUUCGGCCGCUGGUGGAUACGAGACUCCACGAUGUGAGCAGUCACCCGCUCUCGCGCGCUAUUGAUGGAGAAUACCAAGUGUUGACGUGAAGGCGACCUGCCGAGGACCAUUUCUGACAAGAAGAAUAGAAAAGAGGAAAAAUAACACUGGAUUUGUAAACUUCAUAUUUUUUAUUUCUCGUAAAUAUUGCAAUAGACUCAAAGGAGAAAGUUCACGACCCCCUCCCACCCACCGUAUCCUCUUCAUCGGCUAAGUCGCAGUUCAGGGGUCACGGCCAGCGGAGCGAGAAGAAGACCAAAGGGAGGGAGUUUGCCCUCCAUAUAUUUUUUUUUGUUUUCGUUUUUGUUUGAAUGUGUUCCUUCUUCUGGCUGAGGAGACUUUGUGCGGACGAGCAGCCGAGGGAAUGAGCCCCAUCGCCGUCGCUUCCCUCCUCGGGUUCCUGGAGCCCCGUCGCGGUGUCCCGUCCCCGUGGGGAGGGAGCCCGUCUCCGAUUCCCAUUUUUGACGCUAUUACUUCUCUCCCCUCAACCUGAAAAAAAACCCCCUCUUAUUUUCUAUAAAUCUUAUUUUUAAAUAUAAUUUUGUAUUAGUGCAAGUCAAAGUAAAACCAGUGACACGUUGACAACCGAUUACUUUACAAACAUUUUUUGUUUGUUAAUUAAAAAAAAAAUCCGCGUUGUAGAGGGAACUGGAAGCCCCUUUCCCUUCACUGGAGGUCACGCUGCGUCAGUGAAGUGGCCGUCUGAAGCGGGGCGUCCGGGGGGCAUCGUCGGUAUCGGGGGCCUCGGCAGCGCGCCACCGUAACGAUGGAGAUUCACUGUAAGCACGACCCGUUUGCUGCAAUGCACAGUGCAUGCUGGGACAGGCUCCAGGUCUGGUGCUCAACAA